UACGUAGGGGGCAAGCGUUGUCCGGAUUUAUUGGGCGUAAAGAGCGUGUAGGCGGCUAGACAGGUCGGCUGUGAAAUCCCGAGGCUCAACCUCGGGUCUGCAGUCGAUACGGGCAAACUAGAGUAUUGCAGGGGAGACUGGAAUUCCUGGUGUAGCGGUGAAAUGCGCAGAUAUCAGGAGGAACACCGGUGGCGAAGGCGGGUCUCUGGGCAAUAACUGACGCUGAGGAGCGAAAGCGUGGGGAGCGAACAGG
This 253-nucleotide ribosomal RNA is filed under the name uncultured bacterium. RNAcentral describes it as "partial 16S ribosomal RNA". It matches the Rfam family "Bacterial small subunit ribosomal RNA", at positions 524 to 776 of the family's 1533-position model. The record is from RNAcentral.